Non-coding RNA from Microcebus murinus (gray mouse lemur), 1370 nucleotides. Lineage: Eukaryota; Metazoa; Chordata; Mammalia; Primates; Cheirogaleidae. The record is from RefSeq and is a predicted model, not a curated record.
CUGGCUCCACAGCCUGAGGGGACACCUCCGGAGCCCGCAACUGCCCCGGGGCGUGCCGGCUGUCCCUGCCGCCUCAGCCCGCCUCAGUGCUGCCCACUCCCUCCGCCCGGCCCCAGCCGCCGGCCCCUGACCCCGGCGGAGAUCAUGGAUCAGGCAGAUAACAAUCAACAAGAAAUCCCUUCAUACCUUAGUGAUGAACCACCAGAAGGUUCAGUGGAAGAUCACCCACAGCAGCAGCCAGGCAUGUUGUCCCGUGUGACUGGGGGUAUCUUCAGCGUUACAAAGGGAGCUGUUGGUGCCACCAUGGGUGGUGUGGCUUGGAUUGGUGGCAAAAGUCUGGAGGUGACCAAAACAGCUGUUACAACUGUGCCUUCCAUGGGAAUAGGGCUGGUGAAAGGGGGUGUGUCUGCCGUGGCUGGAGGAGUUACAGCUGUUGGGUCUGCUGUUGUAAACAAAGUGCCCUUAACAGGAAAGAAGAAAGACAAAUCUGACUAAAAUAUGGAGAUACACUUGCUCUCCACAGCAUUAUGAUGCCAGUGGCAUUGAAUUGCUAAAUAAUGGACUAUAACCAAGUCACCUGUUUUGGACAUUUAUCUUCUAAACUGCUGUGUUGAAAGUAUUGAUGACUGGCUUUCAUCUAAAAAGAAGAGACCAAUACAAGCACAGUGUGUGAAGGUUUCUCAUAGUUUCAGCUUUUUAUCUGGUAAAAUGUUAUACUUAUUCAGUUGUAACUGAAGAUAUGGUAUGUUUGAAUAUUUACUGUAAGUCUUUCAGUUUGACUAAAAAUGUGAAAGUUGAAUUUAGUAGAUGAUCUUUAUUACAGUUCCACAUGUAUAAUGUGCCAGGUAACUCAUCCGCCCCUUAAGAAGGGAACCUUGAACUACAUAAACUGUACCUUUGAUGUGCCUACUAGUUUCAGAUGUCUUAGUUUUUUUAUAACCAUAGUUGAUUAGUCAAGAGGCAUUCUUUUCUUAGCUAAGUUGGCAAAAGUAGCAGGAAUUAGAGAAGUUUAAAAGAAAAGAUAAAUGGUUUUAUGAUACUGAGUGUUAACCAUCUUUUGUUAGAUAUGCAUUUUAUUAAUUUAAUUAUUGAUGCCUUACAAAAGAAAACAUCUUUGCUAAUACCCUAAGUAUGUGCAGUUCUUAGAAUUAUCUAUGGAUUCUUUUAAAGAUUGUGAAAUUAGUUUUUCCCUCUUUAGAAUCUCAGGAGUAGUAGGAUAAAGGCAUUUCUUGCUGUCAGUGGAUUAAGAUAGUGCUUGUUAACUGUCUUGUUAGUAGUUAAAAUCAAAUUAUACACUUCAACCUGGGUUCAUGCUCCAUCAUUAAUACACCUCACAGUGCCUAAGGAACAUUAAUUUACUGAUCAAAAGC